Molecule: ribosomal RNA, 455 nt
Filed under: uncultured Burkholderia sp.
Lineage: Bacteria; Pseudomonadati; Pseudomonadota; Betaproteobacteria; Burkholderiales; Burkholderiaceae
Description: bacterial SSU rRNA
Rfam family: Bacterial small subunit ribosomal RNA
Source: RNAcentral
GCACAAGCGGUGGAUGAUGUGGAUUAAUUCGAUGCAACGCGAAAAACCUUACCUACCCUUGACAUGGUCGGAAUCCCGCUGAGAGGUGGGAGUGCUCGAAAGAGAACCGGCGCACAGGUGCUGCAUGGCUGUCGUCAGCUCGUGUCGUGAGAUGUUGGGUUAAGUCCCGCAACGAGCGCAACCCUUGUCCUUAGUUGCUACGCAAGAGCACUCUAAGGAGACUGCCGGUGACAAACCGGAGGAAGGUGGGGAUGACGUCAAGUCCUCAUGGCCCUUAUGGGUAGGGCUUCACACGUCAUACAAUGGUCGGAACAGAGGGUUGCCAACCCGCGAGGGGGAGCUAAUCCCAGAAAACCGAUCGUAGUCCGGAUUGCACUCUGCAACUCGCCCUCAUGAAGCUGGAAUCCGUAGUAAUCGCGUUUCAACAGAACGCGGUGAAUACGUCCCUGCUCCUU